GACGAACGCUGGCGGCGUGCUUAACACAUGCAAGUUGAGCGAGCAGCGGACGGGUGAGUAAAGCACAAGGACUUGUCCGAAAGAGAGGGACACCUGCGGGAAACCGGAGCUAAUACCUCAUAAAAAAGGCGCUUUUGGAGAGACUUGUGUCCUAUCAGGCAGUUGGUGAGGUAACGGCUCACCAAACCGAAGACGGGUAGCCGGACUGAGAGGUCGACCGGCCACAUUGGAACUGAGAGACGGUCCAGACUCCUACGGGAGGCAGCAGUGGGGAAUAUUGGGCAAUGGGCGCAAGCCUGACCCAGCGACGCCGCGUGAGGGAAGACAGCCUUCGGGUUGUAAACCUCUGUUGCAGGGGAAGAUGACGGUACCCUGCGAGGAAGCUCCGGCUAACUACGUGCCAGCAGCCGCGGUAAUACGUAGGGAGCGAGCGUUGUCCGGAAUUACUGGGCGUAAAGGGCGCGUAGGCGGCGCUUCAAGUCGUCUGUCAAAAGCCGAGGCUCAACCUCGGUGCGCAGACGAAACUGGAGAGCUUGAGAAGCAGAGAGGCAAACAGAAUUCCUGGUGUAGCGGUGAAAUGCGUAGAUAUCAGGAAGAAUACCAGUGGCGAAGGCGGUUUGCUGGCUGCCUGACGCUGAAGCGCGAAAGCCAGGGGAGCAAACGGGAUUAGAUACCCCGGUAGUCCUGGCAGUAAACGAUGUAUGCUGGGUGUGGGACGUUCCGUGCCGAAGUUAACGCGAUAAGCAUACCGCCUGGGGAGUACGGUCGCAAGAUUGAAACUCAAAGGAAUUGACGGGGGCCCGCACAAGCGGUGGAGCACGUGGUUUAAUUCGAUGCAAACCGAAGAACCUUACCUGGACUUGACAUCAACAGGUGCUGCAUGGCUGUCGUCAGCUCGUGUCGUGAGAUGUUGGGUUAAGUCCCGCAACGAGCGCAACCCCUAUUGCCGGUUGCUACCAGCUGAGCACUCCGGCGAGACUGCCAUCGACAAGAUGGAGGAAGGUGGGGACGACGUCAAGUCAUCAUGGCCCAUAUGUCCAGGGCGACACACAUGCUACAAUGGAUGGCAGAGAGAAGCGAGCCCGAAAGGAGAAGCAGAUCCCAACCAUCCCCAGUUCGGAUGCAGUCUGCAACUCGACUGCAGAAGUUGGAAUCGCUAGUAAUCGCGGAUCAGCCAAGCCGCGGUGAAUACGUUCCCGGGCCUUGUACACACCGCCCGUCACACCAUCCGAGUCGGGUGCUCUCAAAGCCGGAGCCUAAGGAUCCGCCUAAAGAGUGUCCGGUGAGGAGGGUGAAGUCGUAACAAGGUAACCGUACGGGAACGUGC
RNAcentral lists this ribosomal RNA (1327 nucleotides) under Pyramidobacter piscolens. RNAcentral's name for it is "bacterial SSU rRNA". It matches the Rfam family "Bacterial small subunit ribosomal RNA". Lineage: Bacteria; Thermotogati; Synergistota; Synergistia; Synergistales; Dethiosulfovibrionaceae. RNAcentral also lists the same sequence under 1 other name. The record is from RNAcentral.